Molecule: long non-coding RNA, 422 nt
Organism: Saccostrea echinata
Lineage: Eukaryota; Metazoa; Mollusca; Bivalvia; Ostreida; Ostreidae
Exons: 3
Source: RefSeq, a predicted model, not a curated record
AUCUAUUCCCUGUUCUUUGUCAACAAUAACUGGUAUCUGUUUUUCAGCCUCCAUCAAAUUCUGUGUGUGAACGCCUGUAUAAGAUAUACAUAUAUUCUGUAAAAAUCACAGGUGAGGAGGUGCAGUGUAGAAAAGACAGAAAGGUAUCUACUGCAGUGGCCCUCAGACUCAAAGCUCCAAGUGAGAUUGAGCCAGAAGAAUACUAUCCAUACUUCCUGGAGAUGGUGAAGAGUUUGCUGGACGGGAACUUAAAAUCCAAACAGUACGAGGACAAGCUGAGAGAGACGUAUGGUAUUCAUGCCUACAUCGCAUUCACAUUAGAGAAGUUUGUAUAGAACCUUGUCAGACAGAUGCAGCACAUUGUCCAGGAUGAGGUUUGCUUGAAUAUCACUGCACUGUUGCAGGAGGAACGUACUAAGAAU